GGUUCGAGUUCGCUGUGGGCGGACGGCAUCAACUGCGGUCCAGCCAUGCCCGCCUGUCUUGGAGCCAACUGAGUGUGGACUGAAACCUCCAAAAACUUUCUCUUCUGUUUGAUUUUUACUAUGUCUGAAGGUAUAUGCAGCUAUUUCAAGACAACAAGAGGCAUUAAGGCUUCCUCUGAACUGGACCUGGAAUCCUUCCAUAAAGACAGGAUCUUCUAUGCACCUCCACACGUUACAGUCCCCUCCAAAAAAGAGCAGAUGGUGCACAAUGCCGCUGUGAAGAUCAAGGCGAAGCGCAGAACCCUACCCUUAACAUUCUACUGAUUCCAUCCUCUGAAGGUGGUUUCUAGCCUCAGAGGUCGACAGAACUGAGCACAUCAGACGCGUGUGUUACUGGAUAUGUGACUUUCACUUGCUGAUAUUCAGCACAUGGAACUGCUAAAAGGCAGCCUCUGCCUUGAUUCACAGCUCAUCCUGAGAACAUAGUGUCAAACAGAGGACUCAGAAGCCUGGUUCUGCCAUGGUGGAUAAAAGAAUUGAAACAUCACUGAAGAUAGCCUUGGUGAGGCAGCCUGCGAGCUUCAGCGAGCCGCCGGGUGAGAAAGAAAAAUAAAAGCAUAUCCUGCUGUCAGUCUUGGGCUGGACAGGAAAUGAACUGGUCACUCUGAGAUGGGAAAGCAGAGAUUUCCUUUGGGGUCUGUGCUCCAUGCUCCAGGGCGCCAGCCUCCCUGCACCCACUGCACUGCAGAGAGCAGCUCUUCACAGAAGGACCUUGAGAUUCUUGUAGAGCGAAGAGAAGGACUCUACUCAGGAGGCGAAGAACUAUCCUCACUGUAAGGCCUGAACUGGACCUGACUCCCAGGCCUCAGCUUGCCUGCCAGCAGAAGCACUACACCCAGCAGGGAACUCAGCUCAGCACUGAAGCUGUCACAGGCAAGCACAGGAUGUUAUAAAGAAGAUAAGAUAGGACAAGGAAUUGUGCAGAUCGCAGGACAUCUGGAGCUCUGCCUAUCAAGUGAAAGACUGCAGCAAACUUGGACCACUGAUGUUUAUUAAAAUCGUCCUGCCUAAUGUCCUCUACCUUCUUUGCAUCCCUAUAAAAGGGACACACUUCUCUUUAUUCCCUCCAGAAGGUCUGUUUGUUUUAUGUUUGCCUGCACCCAGGCACAAUGAAUUCCACACCACGUUGCCUGUACACGAGCCUGUUGGUCUCCGCUGGUCCUCUCUUCCCUGGCCCUGGGUGUCAUUCCCUUUGGGAGAAAAGAGUAAAGAAAGCUUGAUUUGUUUGGUGUAGGCCAAAAGUCUCUCUUGUCUUGAAAAGAAAGCAUAUUCUUUGGGUGGUGUGGGAUGCUGUGCUAACAUUAAAAAGAAUGAAGGAAAAAGUAAGAAAACAUGAAGAUAGAAGUAAAGGAGGCCAAGUGGGAGAGGAGGAAGAGGAGGGAGAGGAGGACGAAGGGAAUAACUAUUCUUUCUUCCCCUGAAACUUGUUCUCCUGGAGAAGUGGAUUUAGUAUUUAGUGGAAAUUAGAAAGGCUGGAGUGUUUUGUUUGUACUUGAGCCCUCAAUCUCUUGCCUAAAGUAGUAGAAAGAAGGAAAAGACAAGUCAUCUGCUCCUAGCAGUUUGUCCCUUUGUUUUCUAAGUUUCCCCUUCCUUGGCUGCCUCCUUCACAGCACUCGCUUGUGCCCCUCACCUUACAGGAGGAGCCUGAGACUGGGAGGGUAGAAGUGGGGGGUGGCGACAGGACGCGGGGUGGAGACACACAGAUAGGACACCCUGCCAUCUUCCUGCCUUUCCUUGUGAGACUCCUUGUGGUCCCUGACCCCCGGGCGCGUCUCUGCCUCUGCUCCUUUUGGGAAGUGGGAGGAGGAAAGCCCACCAGGUGCUCCUGAAAUUUGCCUCUCUGCAUAGAGCAAUUCUUUUAUUAACUAAAUCCCCAGCCCUAUUAUGUAGGAAUUAAAACAAAAACAGAACGAGGUGAAGCACCUUCUGGUUUGGGUUCUGGAUUUUGCUCUUGACCCCUUAGCUGUUCCUUACCAACCUCCUUCACUGAUUUCUCCUUAGUUUUAUGGCCCAGGUGCUGGAUUGUCCUAGACUGUCUUUGAACCACUUUCCCUCUCCUAUACUCACUAGUGUGAAUUUUUGUCUUGUGGCUUUAAUAUUGUCUAAAGGCUGACAUUCCUAAAUUUGCAUCUCAGUCUAGACUUCUGAUUCUGAAUUCCAGACUCAUGAAUCAUCCGUCCACCUGCCAUCUCCACUGGGGUGUCCACUAGACAUCUUACACUUAACAUGCUCAGAAACAAGUUCCUAGUGUCACGCAGGUUCUCAGCUGCUCUUACCUUAUCCUCCCAUCUGUUAAGGGCAACUCCAUUGUUACUGUUUACAACUAGAUGUCCCCCCAAAGCCUUAUGCCCUCAUAGGAAGAGCUUUUGGGAGACGGUUACAUCAGGGGUGUGUGCAGUCCCUUGAAAGGUUUAUGGGUGUAAUAUUGGGAGGUGAGCCCUCGUGGGAGGAGGCAGCCCACUGUGGACAUGACCUGAAAGGGAAUAAUCCUUCCUCCUCUCUUGAUCUCUCUUGGCUUUCUGCCUGCCAUUCUGUGGAUUGUUUCUUUUCUGCCAUGUCCUUCUGCCUUGGAGCCAGCCAACUGUGGCCUGAAACCUCUAUACACUGUGAGUCAAAAUAAAGCCUUGCUCCUUUAAUUUGUGGGUAUUGGGUGUUUUGUCCCAGAAGUGAGACAGUAACUAUGACAUUCGUCCUCUGAUUGUUCAGAUUCAACUACUUAAAGGUCGCCCGACUCUUCAACAACAAAGCUGGCUGGUUGUGUGUUGUUAUUCUUUUGUGAUCCCUCCUUGGCUUCCCAUCUCACUGUAAGUGAAUGCUAAAGUGAUAGCAAUGGAUUCAAGGCUCUAUGCAGUCUAAACAGUGGGCUGUUAUCACUUUCUCUUCUCUAUGGCCUCCUCACCUUUACUGUCCCAUGUGCAAAUAUCUUCUUUAUUCAUUUCUCUUUAGUUUUCCCUCAAAUAUGUCAAACAUGUUCCUACCUCAGGACCUUUACACUUGCUCUUCUCUUUUCCUCUAAGCAUUACACUGCCCCUUUUCACUUCCUUCAAGAACUUGCUCAAAUGCAUCCUUUUUAGGGUGCUUUAUUGAAAUGAUAUGAACUUCCCCUCUCCAACUGGCAUCGUCUUUUCCAUUCCUGUGUUUGUCUCCUCCAUAGUACUUCUGUUACUUACCCUGAGCUCCAAUUCACUUAUUUAUGUUUUGUCUGUUUCUGUCUGUCUCUACUUUAUUCACUCUAGCACCUAGAACAGUGCUUGGCAUGCACUGGGUACUCAAUACAUGAGGACCUGGGUAAGGCAGGCAUGUUAUUUUGUAGGAUAAGAUAUUUUGAUGUUUCAGAGCUGAGCUAACUGGUCAGGAGGGUCCACAGUGUUAGCUCAUCUGGAGCAAAUUGGAUUUUCAGGAAGAAGUCACAGUAGCCGAAAGCACACG
Molecule: long non-coding RNA, 3489 nt
Organism: Cavia porcellus (domestic guinea pig)
Lineage: Eukaryota; Metazoa; Chordata; Mammalia; Rodentia; Caviidae
Exons: 5
Source: RefSeq, a predicted model, not a curated record